UACGAAGGGUGCAAGCGUUACUCGGAAUUACUGGGCGUAAAGCGUGCGUAGGUGGUUUGUUAAGUCUGUUGUGAAAGCCCCGGGCUCAACCUGGGAAUGGCAAUGGAUACUGGCAGGCUAGAGUGCGGUAGAGGGUAGUGGAAUUCCCGGUGUAGCGGUGAAAUGCGUAGAGAUCGGGAGGAACACCAGUGGCGAAAGCGGCUCCUGGUCCGACACCGACGUCAGGCACGAAAGCGUGGGGAGCAAACAGG
RNAcentral lists this ribosomal RNA (251 nucleotides) under uncultured bacterium. RNAcentral's name for it is "partial 16S ribosomal RNA". It matches the Rfam family "Bacterial small subunit ribosomal RNA", at positions 524 to 776 of the family's 1533-position model. The record is from RNAcentral.